GACGAACGCUGGCGGCGUGCUUAACACAUGCAAGUCGAACGGAAAGGCCCUGCUUUUGUGGGGUGCUCGAGUGGCGAACGGGUGAGUAACACGUGAGUAACCUGCCCUUGACUUUGGGAUAACUUCAGGAAACUGGGGCUAAUACCGGAUAGGAGCUCCUGCUGCAUGGUGGGGGUUGGAAAGUUUCGGCGGUUGGGGAUGGACUCGCGGCUUAUCAGCUUGUUGGUGGGGUAGUGGCUUACCAAGGCUUUGACGGGUAGCCGGCCUGAGAGGGUGACCGGCCACAUUGGGACUGAGAUACGGCCCAGACUCCUACGGGAGGCAGCAGUGGGGAAUAUUGCACAUUUGGCGGAAUCUUUAUGCAGCAACGCCGCUGGCGGGAUAACGGCCUUCGGGUUGUAAACCGCUUUCGCCUGUGACGAAGCGUGAGUGACGGUAAUUGGUAAAGAAGCACCUGCUUACUACGUG
This 468-nucleotide ribosomal RNA is filed under the name uncultured bacterium. RNAcentral's name for it is "partial 16S ribosomal RNA". It matches the Rfam family "Bacterial small subunit ribosomal RNA", at positions 28 to 507 of the family's 1533-position model. The record is from RNAcentral.